This is a long non-coding RNA of Apis cerana (Asiatic honeybee), 3047 nucleotides long. RefSeq lists it as uncharacterized. Lineage: Eukaryota; Metazoa; Arthropoda; Insecta; Hymenoptera; Apidae. The record is from RefSeq and is a predicted model, not a curated record.
UCCUGGAACGAAUAACAAGACUGUUUUUGAAUGUGGAACUCUCACUGGCUUUUAAAAGGACACAUGGUUAUUUGGCGCAUGCGCAUGCGAGAUGCAUGCGAAGUAGCUCGUUUCAGCAGGAGCGGCGUAAUUGGAAAGGCGAUUUUCGGGAAAGGCGAUUAAAUAUUUUCUCCUUGGCGGGAUGUAAAUCGCGGUCGUGUGAUAGCGGUGUAAAUAACGGCGUUACAAAUACGUUGUGGCAAAUAGGAAUGAAUAUAUUAGGAUAAAACCAAAUAUAAAAGUGAAAUUCUAUUUUGCAGUUCACAAUUUUUAAGGUUAAAAUAGAUACAAUGCACAUUGCAAUGAGACGCGUCGUUACCUGUAUACAGGAAGUAACUGACCAGAAGAAUCGAGGAAGUUCAUAUUGUAAUGUUUGUUAAUGGUGGAUAUCUAUGCAUGACAGUGAACGCAAUGAAGGGCCAUCGAAUAAAAUGAUUGAAGGAAGCGUUGAAAGUCUUUUGUUUAUCGACACCCAUUUAAAAGGCAACAUUUAUGAACACAUUUGUUAUGCAAUUGCUUACAACAUCCAAAAUAAAGAAUAAAUUUUUUUUCUCGAUUUUGAAUAUCAAUCGUUAAUCAAUGCAUGAAAAUUUACAUCUUCCGUUUAACAUCGUUUUCACAUAAUUGAUAUUUAUGCAGAUCAUCCGUAAAUUGUGAACGACGAAUGGCUCGCAUCAUAUAAAGAAAAAAAAUUCGAAAGGAGAACAUUUUGUACAGUUUCUCAAGGAGAUUACUCUGAACGUGACCACAAUGAUACUCAGGAAUGAAGUACGUAGUAAUUUUACCACAGAGUUCGCUAACUUUAUUCUCAGACCUUGUAUUAUAUCAACAACAUAAAAUGGUCUCUCUCGUUUUUCAUAUAUGUACAGACGAAGAAAACUUUUAAGGAAAGUCGAAAUGAAUUAUUUCGAUGUUAAAAAUCUAUUUCGGUACAAUGUGACAUGGAUAAAAGAAAAAAGGAUAAAAGAAAUACUUAGAUAUAGCUGUUACCGACAAGAAUUCGAAAGUGUCGCUAAGCAUCUUUUUAUUGACAAUUACAUAAUAGGAAAUAUGGUAACAAAUGCAAUCUCUAACUUCCGUAAUCGAACAAUUUCUCUUAUUGAUUUAUUGAUGAAAAUAAAUAAAAACGUCCAAUCUUUUUUAUUUAAAAAAAAAAUAAUUUAUAUCAGAUUAUAUCAAUGUUCUCAAUCUAUGGACCAGAGAAAUGCAAAUUUUUCAUCAAUAUUUUCAUAUUUUCGUAUUUUUGUAUUACUAGUUAUAUUCUUUUUAUCGUUAAUAUUGAAAAUAAUUACUCAAAAAUGUCAAAACGUAUGCGAUAAUCUUUACACUUUCUUCUUUUUUCGCUUGAAAUGAUCAUAAAUAAUUUAUAUAAAAUUUUAUAAAAUAUAUAUAAAUAUAUGAUCUCAAUAAAUUUAUUAUAUUAUUUUAUCGUUUAAAUUAGAAUGAUUGUUUUUAUAUACAGAAAGAGUGAAAAAUUUUUUAAAUAUUCAAUCAAAUAACAUAUAUUAUUCUAUUCUAAUAAUAUAUUAAUCUAAUAUAUUAUUUUAUAUAUUAGUUUGAUCAUAAUUCAAGCAUUCGAUGAAAUAGAUAAAUACAUAUUCUUAAUAUUGCUAAUAAUUUGCAUUAAAAUUUGUUUAUAACAAAUCGAUCAUUGUGAUAAUAUAAAAUAUCAUAUUAUUGAAAUGUCUUUUCUUCAAAAAAAAAAUAACAAUAAUAAUUUGUAAAAACCAUGUUUUUAUAAAAAAAACCAUUAUGCUUUCACUCCAUUUCCUGACACGCUAUCCACGCUUAUGCUACUUUAGAACUGGUUAAACCGUUUAGAAAUGAAAAGAUGAGCAAGAAUUAUAAAUGAUUGUAACAACAUGUCCACGGAUGAUUCGUGGAGAAAGUGGGAAACGCAGAUACACCCGCGGAUAAUUUUACGACUGUUAAAUAUCCUAGUCGUAUUAUACGAUUGUUGAUUUCAAAAUAUACAGAUAAAUUUCAAAAUACAUUUGAAUGUCUCAGAAAGCAAAAUCGAUCAACUGCAUUUUUUUAAAAUUUUUUAAUUUUAUUAUGUCAGUAUACAAUUAACGUUCAAUUUCUAAAAAAUAAUAAUAAUAAUAAUAAUUAACUCGCAUUAAUUUGUAAUUUUGCAAAAGAAACAGAAUAAUCGCUAUAAAUGUAAUUUUCAUAAUACUACAUGUGUAAUCGAGAACAGAGCGUGAAUGUAGUGUAUUCUUUCUGUGUGACCCGAUUCCAACUGAUUCGAAUAUGUGAAUGAAACUUUCUCUGGUUUAAAUUGUCGUAUGAAAAUAUGAAAAUACUACUAUAUUACAUAGAAAUCAUGCCUUUUUCUUGAAAUUACAAUUAUUUGAUAUAAACAAAGAAUCUCAUUAUAAAGAAAACGACUAAUUUUUUUUUUUUGUUUCAAAUUAUAGUUGACUAUUGUUUUUUUAUCACAUUAUAAUUAUAUCAUAAUUAUAUAUGUAUGUAUAUAUAUAUUUGAUAUUGCAUUAUAGAAAGAUUUAAAAAAAUGAAAAAUUACUUAAUUAAAAAAAAUGUUUUUAAAAAAUUUUAAAAAGAAAGAUAUGAGUAUUCAAAUAUUUGUUAAUAAUCUUUUGAGUAAUUUGAUCUAGAGAAUCGAAGUUUUCGUUCAAAUAUAAAAAAUUUAAUAUUGAAUAGGUUUGAAAGUUUUAAAAUGAAAAAUUAGAAUGUUAUAUUAAUCUACUACAGACUACUUUGUAAACUAGAUACGAGAGAAAAAUGUGUUUUCACCGCACGAUGAAUGCACACCGAUGCAUAAAGCACGUAAUCGUAUCACGUUUAGAAUCUUUUCAUCUUCUUCGCAUAUAUGUAUAUUCUAACUACUUGUGUCACUAUCGUGACUAGCGCUUUCUCUAACAGUAGCGUACCAUAUUUUUCGAUACCGAAGAAUCUAAUUAGAUCCAAAAAUUUUUUAAUUUUAUUUAUUAUAUAAAUUAUAAUGCAUUAAAAUUAAAUUACAAAUAAAAUACAAUAUAUUCUUA